AUACGUAGGGUGCAAGCGUUAAUCGGACUUACUGGGCGUAAAGCGUGCGCAGGCGGUUUUGUAAGACAGGGGUGAAAUCCCCGGGCUCAACCUGGGAACUGCCAUUGUGACUGCGAGGCUGGAGUGCGGCAGAGGGGGAUGGAAUUGCCCGUGUAGAAGUGAAAUGCGUAGAUAUGCGGAGGAACACCGAUGGCGAAGGCAAUCCCCUGGGCCUGCACUGACGCUCAUGCACGAAAGCGUGGGGAGCAAACAGGAUUAGAUACCCUGGUAGUCCACGCCCUAAACGAUGUCAACUGGUUGUUGGGAAUUUAUUUUCUCAGUAACGAAGCUAACGCGUGAAGUUGACCGCCUGGGGAGUACGGCCGCAAGGUUAAAACUCAAAGGAAUUGACGGGG
Molecule: ribosomal RNA, 395 nt
Filed under: uncultured bacterium
Lineage: Bacteria
Description: partial 16S ribosomal RNA
Rfam family: Bacterial small subunit ribosomal RNA
Source: RNAcentral